This 199-nucleotide long non-coding RNA is filed under the name Capsicum annuum. RNAcentral describes it as "long non-coding RNA (CANN_LNC014101)". Lineage: Eukaryota; Viridiplantae; Streptophyta; Magnoliopsida; Solanales; Solanaceae. The record is from RNAcentral.
AUGCUAAUACCUUGCUUUCAAUAUGAUUUCUAAGUCAUUUUUCUUUAUUUCAUAGGAAUUGUUUGCCUAUAUACUUCAAUGGUUGAAACCAUGCAUAUGUGAUUUGAGAUUUUCCAUGGAAGUUUGAUAAAUAUGAAUGAUAAAUUGCUUUCAAAUUCCCAUGAUAAUGUCUUGAUACCCCAUAUCAUAUUGUGACCAA